This 220-nucleotide ribosomal RNA is filed under the name uncultured fungus. Its description in RNAcentral is "partial 26S ribosomal RNA". It matches the Rfam family "Eukaryotic large subunit ribosomal RNA", at positions 36 to 247 of the family's 3401-position model. Lineage: Eukaryota; Fungi. The record is from RNAcentral.
UUGCAUAUCAAUAAGCGGAGGAAAAGAAACUAACAAGGAUUCCCCUAGUAACGGCGAGUGAAGCGGGAAAAGCUCAAAGUGAAAACCGGGGCGCUUAGCGGUGCUUCCGGGUUGUAGCCUAGAGAUGCGUUGUCAGCGUGCGACCUGGGUAUAAAUCUUUUGGAACAAGGUGUCAGAGAGGGUGAGAACUCCGUCUUUGAUCCGGAGAUCGCCGCGUACG